This 451-nucleotide ribosomal RNA is filed under the name uncultured organism. RNAcentral's name for it is "partial 16S ribosomal RNA". It matches the Rfam family "Bacterial small subunit ribosomal RNA", at positions 329 to 797 of the family's 1533-position model. The record is from RNAcentral.
ACGUACACUCCUACGGGAGGCAGCAGUGGGGAAUAUUGGACAAUGGGCGCAAGCCUGAUCCAGCCAUGCCGCGUGAGUGAUGAAGGCCCUAGGGUUGUAAAGCUCUUUCACCGGUGAAGAUAAUGACGGUAACCGGAGAAGAAGCCCCGGCUAACUUCGUGCCAGCAGCCGCGGUAAUACGAAGGGGGCUAGCGUUGUUCGGAUUUACUGGGCGUAAAGCGCACGUAGGCGGUCUAUUAAGUCAGGGGUGAAAUCCCGGGGCUCAACCCCGGAACUGCCUUUGAUACUGGUAGUCUUGAGUUCGAGAGAGGUGAGUGGAAUGCCGAGUGUAGAGGUGAAAUUCGUAGAUAUUCGGAGGAACACCAGUGGCGAAGGCGGCUCACUGGCUCGAUACUGACGCUGAGGUGCGAAAGCGUGGGGAGCAAACAGGAUUAGAUACCCCGGUAGUCCC